Molecule: transfer RNA, 99 nt
Filed under: Colletotrichum fioriniae PJ7
Lineage: Eukaryota; Fungi; Ascomycota; Sordariomycetes; Glomerellales; Glomerellaceae
Rfam family: tRNA
About the family: Transfer RNA (tRNA) molecules are approximately 80 nucleotides in length.
Source: Rfam by way of RNAcentral
UCCCCGAUAGUCUAGUGGUGAGGAUAUCUGCUUGUCAAUGGGGAAUUAUUCCCUGACAACGAUUCGCAGGGGACCGGGGUUCAAUUCCCCGUCGAGGAG